RNAcentral lists this microRNA (21 nucleotides) under Drosophila simulans. Its description in RNAcentral is "miR-277-RA". The record is from RNAcentral. Lineage: Eukaryota; Metazoa; Arthropoda; Insecta; Diptera; Drosophilidae.
UAAAUGCAUUAUUUGGUACGA